GUCGUGCUGGCACUUUUACUGGCAGGGUCUUAGAGCUGAGCCUGUAGCCGGGCGCCAUCUUUGACUCUGGCAGUCUUGGAUUUCUGCUGGUGUUGCUGCUGAGAAGACGGCGGGCGGCAGCGGCUAAGAAAGAAGAAAGACGUGGCAGCAAGCGGGAGUCGGGGAUAGUGUCGACGGUUCGGUAAAGUUUCUGUUCUCUGGGCCCCACUACUUGGGAGAUUUUCUCAAACUCCACACACAGAAAGCCACCGACCUUAUUCCGAUUUGGGGAUAUUCCCUGCCCAAAAAUUUCCUGGAAAAUUGACUAGUAUUAAGUGCGUAAUAAAUUGGAACUCAGUGAAGACACAGACAUUCCUGUUGAGAUCAACCAGCUAAUGUAAGUGUGGAAAUGGGUUUGUUUUUUUUUUUUAAUCAUUAAAGGGGUAAACAUUUUUGUAAUUUAUGGCAUAAUUUU
Molecule: long non-coding RNA, 454 nt
Filed under: Bos mutus (wild yak)
Lineage: Eukaryota; Metazoa; Chordata; Mammalia; Artiodactyla; Bovidae
Description: lncRNA (ENSBMUG00000006994.1)
Source: RNAcentral